This 253-nucleotide ribosomal RNA is filed under the name uncultured bacterium. Its description in RNAcentral is "partial 16S ribosomal RNA". It matches the Rfam family "Bacterial small subunit ribosomal RNA", at positions 524 to 776 of the family's 1533-position model. The record is from RNAcentral.
UACGUAGGGGGCAAGCGUUGUCCGGAUUUAUUGGGCGUAAAGAGCGUGUAGGCGGCCAUUCAGGUCAGCUGUGAAAACUCGAGGCUCAACCUCGAGACGUCGGUUGAAACCGUUUGGCUAGAGUCCGGAAGAGGAGAGUGGAAUUCCCGGUGUAGCGGUGAAAUGCGCAGAUAUCGGGAAGAACACCCGUGGCGAAGGCGGCUCUCUGGGCAGUAACUGACGCUGAGGAGCGAAAGCGUGGGGAGCGAACAGG